CAGUAGCCUGCCAAGAUUCCACUUAGCAGCUGGUCCCCAGUUAGAUCUCUUCAGUUGACUUCCCAAGCAAGCCUCCCAGAGGCAUAUGCAAACGAUGAUGCACACACACAAAUAUUUGUUAAUGACCAUGGGUUUGGGAAGGUGUUAGUCAUGGCUAGCAUCUUACCCUUUUCAGAAGAAUAGAGAGGCUGUUGCAGCCCCGUGCUUUCUCCUGCUGCCAGGCGAUCGCUUGCUCUGAGCUAACCCUCUAACCCUUGGGAGUCAGUGUGCAGCAGUGUGCUGAUGUGAGCUGCAUCGGGACUGAAAUGGGAGCUCCGGCUGUGGCACUGGCUCAAGUAGCUAAUCUAAAGAGAAAGUAUUUGGGGGAAGACAUCUUGGUUGCACCUCUCACUGCAUCUUGACUAAUUGCUUCCAACUCCGGGGGCUUCCAGGGACAAUCUCAUUGUUCUUUUCUCUCCAAGGGUCAGCCAUGUUAACCAUUUGUUAAUUUCUCCUGAACAGAUCAAGCAAAAGUAAAUAAUCUGCCAGAAGAAUUAGUACGUAGUGCUGAAGAUGUUUCCACAGUGCCUUCACAACCUGAUAAUCAGUUUUCCCACCCCGACAAACUCAAAAGGAUGAGCAAGUCUGUUCCAGCAUUUCUCCAAGAUGAGGCAAGUUUGUCUUUUGUACCUUGAUAAAAAUG
RNA transcript from Galeopterus variegatus (Sunda flying lemur), 682 nucleotides. It is a transcript of the gene named synaptotagmin-like protein 2, with no coding region annotated. The transcript has 2 exons. Lineage: Eukaryota; Metazoa; Chordata; Mammalia; Dermoptera; Cynocephalidae. The record is from RefSeq and is a predicted model, not a curated record.